UGGUGUGGUUUGUGCAGAUGUUCAGAAUAUGGAUAUGUCAGCAAAGUCUGUCGAAUGUUUAGUCGAGGUCCAAUUUCAUUUGAACUUACGACCGGGCUCUGCUAUAGCUGAAUAUGUUUGUAAUUUAAUUGAUUUUUUAAUUGUUAGCAGUAGCUAACUUUGGUGCUAUUGCUUUUUUUCCCCUGCUGUUGCUAGUUUGUGGUGUAUUCAAUGAUACUGCUGUUCAAGCUGCAAAAAUUUUGUUAACUGCUAA
Molecule: long non-coding RNA, 253 nt
Organism: Rhagoletis zephyria (snowberry fruit fly)
Lineage: Eukaryota; Metazoa; Arthropoda; Insecta; Diptera; Tephritidae
Source: RefSeq, a predicted model, not a curated record